RNAcentral lists this ribosomal RNA (883 nucleotides) under uncultured bacterium. RNAcentral's name for it is "bacterial SSU rRNA". It matches the Rfam family "Bacterial small subunit ribosomal RNA", at positions 56 to 938 of the family's 1533-position model. The record is from RNAcentral.
UGCAAGUCGAGUGCGCGGUGCCGUAGCAAUACGGUACUGGCGCACGGCGCACGGGUGCGUAACACGUGGGUAAUCUGCCCUCUGAUGGGGAAUAACCCGCCGAAAGGCGGGCUAAUACCGCAUAACAUUCCUUGGACUCCGGUUCGAGGACUCAAAGCCGUGAGGCGUCGGAGGUGGAGCCCGCGCACGAUUAGCUAGUUGGUAGGGUAACGGCCUACCAAGGCUAUGAUCGUUAGCUGGUCUGAGAGGAUGGCCAGCCACACUGGAACUGAGACACGGUCCAGACUCCUACGGGAGGCAGCAGUGGGGAAUCUUGCGCAAUGGGCGAAAGCCUGACGCAGCGACGCCGCGUGGGGGAUGAAGCUUCUCGGAGUGUAAACCCCUUUCGACCGGGACGAAUACCUCGCAAGAGGGGUGACGGUACCGGUAUAAGAAGCCCCGGCUAACUACGUGCCAGCAGCCGCGGUAAGACGUAGGGGGCCAGCGUUGUUCGGAAUUACUGGGUGUAAAGGGUUCGUAGGCGGUGUGGCAAGUCGGGAGUGAAAUCUCUGGGCUCAACACAGGGGCUGCUUCCGAAACUGCUGUGCUGGAGUGUGGGAGAGGCGCGUGGAAUUGCAGGUGUAGCGGUGAAAUGCGUAGAUAUCUGCAGGAACACCCGUGGCGAAAGCGGCGCGCUGGACCACUACUGACGCUGAGGAACGAAAGCUAGGGGAGCAAACAGGAUUAGAUACCCUGGUAGUCCUAGCCCUAAACGAUCAGGACUUGGGGUGCCACCCGUUCGGGUGUCGUCCCGGAGCUAACGCGUUAAGUCCUGCACCUGGGGAGUACGGUCGCAAGACUGAAACUCAAAGGAAUUGACGGGGGCCCGCACAAGCGGUGGAAC